RNAcentral lists this ribosomal RNA (358 nucleotides) under uncultured bacterium. Its description in RNAcentral is "partial 16S ribosomal RNA". It matches the Rfam family "Bacterial small subunit ribosomal RNA", at positions 338 to 710 of the family's 1533-position model. The record is from RNAcentral.
CCUACGGGAGGCAGCAGUGGGGAAUAUUGGGCAAUGGAGGCAACUCUGACCCAGCAACGCCGCGUGAAGGAAGAAGGCCUUAGGGUUGUAAACCUAUGUUGGAAAGGAAGAAAAGAAUGACGGUAGUUCAUAAGAGAGCGUCGGCUAACUAUGGGCCAGCAGCCGCGGUAAGACAGAGGGGGCAAGCGUUGUUCGGAAUUACUGGGCGUAAAGGGAGCGUAGGCGGGAGAUUAAGUUAAGAGUGAAAGCAAUGGGGUCAACCCAAGAAAUGGUGUAAAUACUGGUUGUCUAGAGUGUGGGAGAGGUAGGUGGAAUUCCUGGUGUAGCGGUGGAAUGCGUAGAUAUUAGGAGGAACAUC